AGCGAACGCUGGCGGUAGGCCUAACACAUGCAAGUCGAACGGCAGCACAGUAAGAGCUUGCUCUUACGGGUGGCGAGUGGCGGACGGGUGAGGAAUACAUCGGAAUCUACUUUUUCGUGGGGGAUAACGUAGGGAAACUUACGCUAAUACCGCAUACGACCUACGGGUGAAAGCAGGGGAUCUUCGGACCUUGCGCGAUUGAAUGAGCCGAUGUCGGAUUAGCUAGUUGGCGGGGGAAAGGCCCACCAAGGCGACGAUCCGUAGCUGGUCUGAGAGGAUGAUCAGCCACACUGGAACUGAGACACGGUCCAGACUCCUACGGGAGGCAGCAGUGGGGAAUAUUGGACAAUGGGCGCAAGCCUGAUCCAGCCAUACCGCGUGGGUGAAGAAGGCCUUCGGGUUGUAAAGCCCUUUUGUUGGGAAAGAAAAGCAGCAGGUUAAUACCCCGCUGUUCUGACGGUACCCAAAGAAUAAGCACCGGCUAACUUCGUG
Molecule: ribosomal RNA, 492 nt
Filed under: uncultured bacterium
Lineage: Bacteria
Description: partial 16S ribosomal RNA
Rfam family: Bacterial small subunit ribosomal RNA
Source: RNAcentral